Molecule: ribosomal RNA, 763 nt
Filed under: Prevotella sp. sp2-iso-ab47
Lineage: Bacteria; Pseudomonadati; Bacteroidota; Bacteroidia; Bacteroidales; Prevotellaceae
Description: bacterial SSU rRNA
Rfam family: Bacterial small subunit ribosomal RNA
Source: RNAcentral
GCUUAACACAUGCAAGUCGUGGGGAAACGGCAUUAUGUGCUUGCACAUUCUGGACGUCGACCGGCGCACGGGUGAGUAUCGCGUAUCCAACCUGCCCCUUACUUGGGGAUACCCCGUUGAAAGACGGCCUAAUACCCGAUGUGUUUCAUUGACGGCAUCCGAUAUGAAACAAAGGUUUUCCGGUAAGGGAUGGGGAUGCGUCUGAUUAGCUUGUUGGCGGGGCAACGGCCCACCAAGGCGACGAUCAGUAGGGGUUCUGAGAGGAAGGUCCCCCACAUUGGAACUGAGACACGGUCCAAACUCCUACGGGAGGCAGCAGUGAGGAAUAUUGGUCAAUGGACGCAAGUCUGAACCAGCCAAGUAGCGUGCAGGAUGACGGCCCUAUGGGUUGUAAACUGCUUUUAUGUGGGAAUAAAGUGGCGCACGUGUGCGCCAUUGCAUGUACCUCAUGAAUAAGGACCGGCUAAUUCCGUGCCAGCAGCCGCGGUAAUACGGAAGGUCCGGGCGUUAUCCGGAUUUAUUGGGUUUAAAGGGAGUGUAGGCGGUCUGUUAAGCGUGUUGUGAAAUUUAGGUGCUCAACAUUUAACUUGCAGCGCGAACUGUCAGACUUGAGUACACGCAGCGCAGGCGGAAUUCAUGGUGUAGCGGUGAAAUGCUUAGAUAUCAUGAGGAACUCCGAUCGCGAAGGCAGCCUGCGGGAGUGUUACUGACGCUUAAGCUCGAAGGUGCGGGUAUCGAACAGGAUUAGAUACCCUGGUAGUCC